This 106-nucleotide ribosomal RNA is filed under the name Klebsiella aerogenes. Lineage: Bacteria; Pseudomonadati; Pseudomonadota; Gammaproteobacteria; Enterobacterales; Enterobacteriaceae. RNAcentral also lists the same sequence under 5 other names. The record is from RNAcentral.
ACAGCGCGGUGGUCCCACCUGACCCCAUGCCGAACUCAGAAGUGAAACGCCGUAGCGCCGAUGGUAGUGUGGGGUCUCCCCAUGUGAGAGUAGGGAACUGCCAGGC